This 507-nucleotide ribosomal RNA is filed under the name Pseudomonas sp. HPC1242. RNAcentral describes it as "bacterial SSU rRNA". It matches the Rfam family "Bacterial small subunit ribosomal RNA", at positions 62 to 581 of the family's 1533-position model. The record is from RNAcentral. Lineage: Bacteria; Pseudomonadati; Pseudomonadota; Gammaproteobacteria; Pseudomonadales; Pseudomonadaceae.
CGGAGAAACAGAAGGGGAAGCUUGCCCUUGAUCCUUCGCGACGGGUGAGUAAUGCCUAGGAAUCUGCCUGGUAGUGGGGGACAACGUUUCGAAAGGAACGCUAAUACCGCAUACGUCCUACGGGAGAAAGCAGGGGACCUUCGGGCCUUGCGCUAUCAGAUGAGCCUAGGUCGGAUUAGCUAGUUGGUGAGGUAAUGGCUCACCAAGGCGACGAUCCGUAACUGGUCUGAGAGGAUGAUCAGUCACACUGGAACUGAGACACGGUCCAGACUCCUACGGGAGGCAGCAGUGGGGAAUAUUGGACAAUGGGCGAAAGCCUGAUCCAGCCAUGCCCGUGUGUGAAGAAGGUCUUCGGAUUGUAAGCACUUAAGUUGGAGGAGGGCAGUAAAUUAUACCUUGCUGUUUUGACUUCCCAAAAAUAAGCCCCGGCUACUCUGUGCCAGCACCCCGGUAUACAGAGGGUGCAGCGUUAUCGAAUUCUGGGCGUAAACCGCUAGGGGUUCGUUA